GGCCAGGUGCAGUGGCUCACACCUGUAAUCCCAGCACUUUGGGAGGCCGAGAUGGGUGGAUCAUGAAGUCAGGAGUUCGAGACCGGCCUGGCCCAGAUGGUGAAACCCCGUCUCUACUAAAAAUACAAAAAUUAGCUGGGCGUGGUGGCGCAUGCCUGUUAGUCCCAGCUACUUGGGGAGGCUGAGGCAGGAGAAUUGCUUGAACCUGGGAGGCGGAGGUUGCAAUGAGCUGAGAUCGUGCCAUUGCACUCCAGCCUGGGCAACAAGAGCGAAACUCCGUCUAAAAAAAAAAAUUUUUGUUGUAAUAUAUAUAUUAAUUUAAUAUAAAGUUUGUACAAAAUUUUAAGAGUCACCACACCCAGCCCCAACACUCUUUUUAGUGGUGCCUUGGGGUAUUUACCUCCACGUUUCUAAGUAAUAUGCUGGUUUUUAUUUAUCAUUUUUAGACAUUAUUGAUUCAUAUCUACUAUGAAAGAUGAGAAUAAGCACUUUAACACUCCCCCUCACCUUCACCUUUUCUCCUUUUCUUCCCAAUAUGGCAAUAUCCAAAUUUUUGGCUAAAUCAAUAUUUAGGUUUUAUUUAUGCUAUUGUAACAAUGAGCCAUGCAGUGAAUUAUAAUUACAUUUCCUUCUACAACCUUUUGUUUUCCUAGGGUUAAUAAUUGCCACUUUUUUUUCUUUUUCUUUUGAGAUGGAGUCUCGCUGUGUCACCAGGCCGGAGUGCAGUUAUGCUCUCUCAGCUCAUUGCAACCUCUGCCUCCUGGGCUCAAGCAUUUCUCCUACCUCAGUCUCCAGAGUAGCUGGGAUUACAGGCGCAUGCCACCACGCCGAGCUAAUUUUUGUAUUUUUAGUAGAGACAGGGUUUCACCAUGUUGUCCGGGCUGGUCUUGAACUCCUGACCGCAAGUGAUCUGCCCACCUUAGCCUCCCAAAGUGCUGGGAUUACAGGCAUGAGCCAUUGCGCCUGGCCUUCCCAUUAGUUUUCUAUGCCACCAGCACUAAUUGUUCCCAAACCAUCUAAAUUAUAAAAAACAAAUAAGCACACCGUGUACCCCAAGCUGGAGUGCAGUGAUGUGAUCCUAGCUCAC
This 1087-nucleotide long non-coding RNA is filed under the name Homo sapiens (human). Its description in RNAcentral is "HSALNT0232917". Lineage: Eukaryota; Metazoa; Chordata; Mammalia; Primates; Hominidae. The record is from RNAcentral.